UACAGAGGUCCCAAGCGUUGUUCGGAUUCACUGGGCGUAAGGGGUGCGUAGGUGGUGAGGUAAGUCGGAUGUGAAAGCUCGGAGCUCAACUCCGAAAUGGCAUUGGAAACUACCUUGCUCGAGGGUUGGAGGGGGGACUGGAAUGCUUGGUGUAGCAGUGAAAUGCGUAGAUAUCAAGCGGAACACCAGUGGCGAAGGCGAGUCCCUGGACAACUCCUGACACUGAGGCACGAAAGCUAGGGGAGCAAACAGG
This 253-nucleotide ribosomal RNA is filed under the name uncultured bacterium. RNAcentral describes it as "partial 16S ribosomal RNA". It matches the Rfam family "Bacterial small subunit ribosomal RNA", at positions 524 to 776 of the family's 1533-position model. The record is from RNAcentral.